Molecule: ribosomal RNA, 370 nt
Filed under: uncultured organism
Description: bacterial SSU rRNA
Rfam family: Bacterial small subunit ribosomal RNA
Source: RNAcentral
CGAACCGUGCGAACGUUGUUCGGAAUCACUGGGCUUAAAGGGCGCGUAGGCGGCUUGCCAAGUCCGGGGUGAAAUCCUCCAGCUUAACUGGAGAAGUGCCUUGGAUACUGGCGAGCUCGAGCGAGGCAGGGGUGAUGGGAACUUCCGGUGGAGCGGUGAAAUGCGUUGAUAUCGGAAGGAACGCCGGUGGCGAAAGCGCAUCACUGGUCCUCUUCUGACGCUGAGGCGCGAAAGCCAGGGGAGCAAACGGGAUUAGAUACCCCGGUAGUCCUGGCCCUAAACGAUGGGUACUAGAUUGUGGGCUAACAUGGGUUCACAGUCGAAGCAAAAGUGGUAAGUACCCCGCCUGGGGAGUAUGGUCGCAAGGCUG